Molecule: long non-coding RNA, 2289 nt
Filed under: Homo sapiens (human)
Lineage: Eukaryota; Metazoa; Chordata; Mammalia; Primates; Hominidae
Description: uncharacterized LOC105376944, transcript variant 6 (LOC105376944)
Source: RNAcentral
GCACUUCCGGAGUGAGGCAAUGCCUCGCCCUGCUUCGGCUCGCGCACGGUGCGCGCACCCACUGGCCUGCGCCCACUGUCUGGCACUCCCUAGUGAGAUGAACCCGGUACCUCAGAUGGAAAUGCAGAAAUCACCCGUCUUCUGCGUCGCUCACGCUGGGAGCUGUAGAGCGGAGCUGUUCCUAUUCGGCCAUCUUGGCUCCUCCGGCUUACAUUCUUGAAGUCAUUAAAGAAGCAACCCAUGGCAAAACUAGUUAUUUUCUUAAAACAGUAGGAAGAAGAAAAGCUUUUUGAAUGAAUCACUUCUCAUCUUCUCCGAAGUUGGAAGCAUCAAGAAUCUAAAUAAGCAUUUAUGAUGGCUGGCAUGAAUAUGUCUAUAGGUCCACUGAUACGGCUUUGCUACUCUACCCCGACACCCUGAGGACUAAUCUAUUAAUAGUAUGUACUUCUUAUAAUGAUGAGUGAGGCACAAAAGAGGAAGCAGAAACGUAAGAGACCUUCUAAAGCCUAUUCUCAGAACUGCCAUACUGUCGUUUCUGCCUCUGGCCAAAACAGGUCAUCAGGUACAAAGUCAAGAGCCCAAAGCCACAUGGUCCUAAGAUGAAGAAAGCCUGUGGAUUCAGGAACAGAUGAAUUUUAGGAGCCAACAACGCAAUCUACCACUUGCCUCUCUUAAGAAAUAUCAUUGUUUACCUAUGUGGCGGAAGAUAGAAUGGGAGUCCUAGUUGACCUUCAUAUAAUUUUUAGAAGAUGGAGCACUUCAACUUCUUCCACUCAUGAAAAGAGAGGUGACAGGUGAAGACAGAACAAGAAAACAAACCAAGAAUUUCCCCUCACCAGCCACCAGCUCUGCCAGCAACUUGAUCUUAGACUUCCCAGCCUCCGUAACGCCUCUGCUUAUAAUCUGUCAUGGAUUGGAAAACUAGAAAAAACAGUUUACAGAGUAUAACAAACUUUGGAGGAGUUAAUCGACUCUAAGUAAAAGAGUAUCUAGCACGGCUGUGGAACAAAGGAGAGACUCACAAACUGUUGAAAGAAUAAAUGAAUGAAUGAAUUCUGUUCAUGAGCUUUAAUAAAACAGCUCUGAGUAGUAACAGUGGAUCAAAUUUAGGCUUCUUGAUGCAGGCAUGGUGUAGAUUACUACUUCUGUAUUGUCCCAGGAGCUCAGCACAUUCCUGCAGAGAUGAUAGGAGCUCAUCUGAUACUUGUCAGCUUUGAAUAAACUCCAGUCCCCAAGAGAGAGAAUGAGAAUCACCGGAAUACGAAACUUCCCUGUUGGACUUCCCAACAUUCUUGAAUGCACCAAGAUAGCCUCUUGCUGUGAGAUUAAUAAAUGAAUAAAUGCCUCCAUAUUUUUCAAAUCUGUGAAGUUAACAACAUGUAGAUUUUUUUGCAUAUUUAAAAACUGCAACUAAAUCUUAAUGCCUCUGAAGCAGAUGGAAGAAAAUAAUAGGCUUCCAUUAACUGUGUCAAAUUGUAUAGGUCUUGGCCAUCACUGGUCCUGUUGUGAUGAAGGUUUUUUGCCCUUGGAUAUAAUUUAAUUUUCAAUUCUUCUAAUUAUGGUACUUCAGAACAUCAAUAUUUGAGAUGAACUUCUCUAGUGUCAAGGACUGAUUUGAGUUGUGUAAACCCUGAAUAUCUGAGACAGGUCUCGAUUAUUUUAGAAAGUUUAUUUUGCCAAGGUUGAGGAUGUGUGCCUGUGACACGGCCUCGGGAGGUCCUGAGGACAUGUGCUCAAGGUGGUCAGAGCACAGCUUUGCUUUAUACAUUUUAGAGAGACAUGAGACAUCAACCGACAUAUGUAAGAUGAACAUUGGUUCCAUCUGGAAAGGCGAGACAACUUCAAACGAGGAGGGGGCUUCCAGGUCAUAGGUAGAUAAGAGACAAAUGGCUGCAUUCUUUUGAGUUUCUGAUUAGCCUUUCCAAAGGAGGCAAUUAGAGUGAGCAAAAUGAACAAAAUCAAUUAUUUUGAUUCUGAACAAAAUGGGAGGCUGGUUUUCCCUAAGCAGUUCCCAGCUUGACUUUUCCCUUUAGCUGAGGGAUUUGGGGGGCCCAAGAUUUAUUUUUCUUUCACCGUUGUAUCAAACUACACAGGCGGCCUUGGAAACCAUCACAGUUGAGAGUAGGUAACGCCCAUUUGUUGCAUAGUUUUGUGCUCCACACUCUUAUCUACAAAAUUAUGAAUUUUUUUACAUAUAUUAAUUUCAGAAAAACUAAAAAUAAAACAAAGUAGUUUCAAACUAGUAUUGUUUUUAUAUCUUAAAAAUAAAGCUUUAUAUACUCUCCUUAC